RNAcentral lists this ribosomal RNA (484 nucleotides) under uncultured bacterium. Its description in RNAcentral is "partial 16S ribosomal RNA". It matches the Rfam family "Bacterial small subunit ribosomal RNA", at positions 28 to 523 of the family's 1533-position model. The record is from RNAcentral.
GACGAACGCUGGCGGCGUGCUUAACACAUGCAAGUCGAACGAUGAAGCCGGAGCUUGCUCUGGUGGAUUAGUGGCGAACGGGUGAGUAACACGUGAGUAACCUGCCCUUGACUCUGGGAUAAGCGUUGGAGACGACGUCUAAUACCGGAUACGAGCUAGGACCGCAUGGUCACUAGCUGGAAAGAAUUUCGGUCAAGGAUGGACUCGCGGCCUAACGGGUAGUUGGAGAGGUAACGGCACACCAAGACGACGACGGGUAGCCGGCCUGAGAGGGUGACCGGCCACACUGGGACUGAGACACGGCCCAGACUCCUACGGGAGGCAGCAGUGGGGAAUAUUGCACAAUGGGCGCAAGCCUGAUGCAGCAACGCCGCGUGAGGGACGACGGCCUUCGGGUUGUAAACCUCUUUUAGCAGGGAAGAAGCGCAAGUGACGGUACCUGCAGAAAAAGCACCGGCUAACUACGUGCCAGCCGCCGCCGUAA